This 492-nucleotide ribosomal RNA is filed under the name uncultured bacterium. RNAcentral's name for it is "partial 16S ribosomal RNA". It matches the Rfam family "Bacterial small subunit ribosomal RNA", at positions 29 to 507 of the family's 1533-position model. The record is from RNAcentral.
AGUGAACGCUGGCGGUAGACCUAACACAUGCAAGUCGAACGGCAGCACAGUAAGAGCUUGCUCUUACGGGUGGCGAGUGGCGGACGGGUGAGGAAUACAUCGGAAUCUACUUUUUCGUGGGGGAUAACGUAGGGAAACUUACGCUAAUACCGCAUACGACCUACGGGUGAAAGCAGGGGAUCUUCGGACCUUGCGCGAUUGAAUGAGCCGAUGUCGGAUUAGCUAGUUGGCGGGGUAAAGGCCCACCAAGGCGACGAUCCGUAGCUGGUCUGAGAGGAUGAUCAGCCACACUGGAACUGAGACACGGUCCAGACUCCUACGGGAGGCAGCAGUGGGGAAUAUUGGACAAUGGGCGCAAGCCUGAUCCAGCCAUACCGCGUGGGUGAAGAAGGCCUUCGGGUUGUAAAGCCCUUUUGUUGGGAAAGAAAAGCAGCAGGUUAAUACCCCGCUGUUCUGGCGGUACCCAAAGAAUAAGCACCGGCUAACUUCGUG